AAGGUAAAAGGAAUGGAUAAACUUCGACUCAUAUGGCUUGUUCUACUACUUGUUGAAUCAUACACAAAGGCAUGUUUUAUAACAUCGAGUUACCAAUGUGUUUUCGUGCAAUCAAUGUAUAACCAACUCAUAGUAACAACUCAUAUCUCUAGGUUUGAAGAAUAUAAGAUAUUAUCAUCUUAUGAUCACUCGUGAUAAAAUCCAUGAAGCGAUUCCAAUGAGCGUGGGUUGAAUCCAAUACUCAUAACUUAUGAGUACUCUUGAAUGUUGUAGCACCGCUUGCUAUGUCCCAUACCUUGGACAUCUCAAAUCCAGCUUCAUGACAGUCUUGAUUCAUAUCUACUUACAACAUAUGACCGACUGUGGAUGGUUUGAAUAACUUAGUCAUUCAGAAAGAACGACCUAGUUAUUCUGGAAGUCAAAACAUGCAAAGUGAAACACAAGAAUAAUCGAAUCCAAUAUGAUCUCAGAACUUAUGAAUAUAAAUAAAACACCUUUUAUUUAUCACCAUAUUGAUUACCCAUCAUUCAUCGCAUAUUGUUUCAAACUAUCAACUUUAUACUUGAAUUAAAACAAUAGUUGUCCCAUGCUCCAAGCAUGUACACUAUGUUUACUAAACACUAGUCAUGCCAUACACCAAGUAUGCACACUAUGUUUGUCUAUGAUCUUUACUUUGUGAAAUAGAUGGAUUGAACAUAAUUCCAAUGAUUCUCAUUUCACAAUCCCAAAUCCUUACCGCAAAUGCAAGAAUUCCAAAUUCCUGUUAUUCACCUAAAUCUUGUUAGAUUCUAAACUUAUAUGCAUUAAUCCUCUUAUAAUGAUUAUGCACAAAGUCACAAAGACUUGUUAACAGACAUUACAAAGUAUUCCAAUGGAGAUCAUUCCAUGGAAACGAAGUCUCAUAUUCAAAGUACAUUGCUUUGAACAUCCAUCUUGCAUUAAGUUUCCUAAUCUUACAUAGAUUUAAUGAAUAACUUCCACCUAUAGGAAUAUUUCCAUAUUCUCAUUUUGAAUAUCACUUCUGAACAAGAGUUGCCUCUUUUCAGAAUAUGUCAAUAAGGUCCUCUCCAAAAAUUACCCCAUACUUCUAAUUGUCCUUGAGCAACCAAUCUUUGGUAAAUCUUAGAUUGUCCUCAACAAUUGCUUAAUCAAAUUAGUCAUAUCGAGUUCUAGUACUUCUCCCUCUUAAUGCUCUAGGCAUUUGGGAAAAUUUAGAACAGAUGAGUAUCAUAGCACAUGCAAUCGAUCCUAUAUCUGAAGCGUAUGGGACACGAUUCAUGAUGUCUCACAUAAAGUACUAGACCAGUCUUUUGCUAUAAUAUUUCUAUUUCUAUUUGCCAAGUUCUCAUAAUUCAGAUUAUAAAAAGGGAUGCCAUAAUCAUAAUCGAAUUUUAGAACGCAAAUAAUGGACUCAUAUAUAGAAUUUCCUUAUGUUACACAUGUGUAUCUAAACAAUUUCAGAACUAUGAAAAGGGAUGUCGUAAUCAUAGUCUCAAUUGUUUAGACCUUUGUCAUUCCUCGCAAGUCCAUAUUAGUGUGUCGGUUACCCACACACUCUCCACUAACGACUUUGUGAAUGCAAAUAUCACACUUGUUAUUUACCUUAAAUCUACUUAGUGAAAGCGUUUCAUCACCAUCAUUUUCAUGAAUCGGAGAGAAACCUUAUGAAACUUAGAUUUUAUGGUGUAUGUGUUCUUAUCCAUGUGAAUUUGUCAAAACCAUAAUCACAAGACAAGGAUAAUGGAAAAUCUAAACUCAUAUGGACUCAACUCAAUCUUAAUUUCCUGCCACCUAGCAGCACAAGGGCCUGCCAUUGCUUCCAAGUUGUUAUGCAACCAAUUGAGAACUUUCAUAACUCGUAUGAAAAGCCAACUUUAACUGGAAUGGGCACAAAAAUAGAAAUAUGUCAACACGAUAAGUUAUAAACCUCACCUCGUGUGCUAGUGUCAAACUACAGGUUUUAUUCUUGAUUAGAUCUCGAAGUUUUUCAAGAUCUUUAAGACUCCAACUGUAAUAGCUCUAGAAGUGAUAUACAAUUUUGAGUGCUUGUAAUAGCUCUAGAAAGUUAAUAAAAUCCUUUAUAUCCCUCUCUCUCUCUCUCUCUCUCUCUCUUUUGUUCACCCAUGGACGUAGAUCGCCUUGAUCGAACCAUGUUAAUUAUUAUGUUCUUUUGAUUUACAUUUUUUAGAAGUUUUAUUUUUGCGAGUUUCAUCGAAAUCUGUUUGACACUUUCCUAAAUUGCUUAACUUCUUUUGCUAUCACCCAAAAACGAUAAAAGGGUUAAUGUGGUUGCCCUUAUUGGGGGUAUAGUUAAUACUAAAAAAAGGAGUUGUUGGGAAUAGGUAUAUGGUGUUGAGUUGGUAUGGAGUUUUGAUAGUCUGGAAAGUAUAAGGCGGUGGCGGGUUAAAAGAUAUCUAUUUGGAACCUAUGUUUAAAUUUGGUAUGUAGUUUCCCUGAAUGAUUGAUCCGACCUAAUGGUAUGUUCAUGGCCGGCGUCACCUGAAUAGAGAGGUGGGUUAUGAAUAAUGUCCCUCCAAAUUGUUUGGCAUGAGAGGAAGAUAAAGCCAAAAAUUGGUGUUGUAGUUGUCUCAUUCCCAUAUAGGGUCUUGCAACUAGAAAUUUCAUAUUAUUGAUACAAAACUAGUUUGAGAUUUGGGACACUCCUUUGAGUCCAAUGAACAAGGGGACAACAUGGGUUGGGUACUGUUGUGUUUUGAUCAUUCUAACACUCCUAAGUGUACAUGCAACCCUAAAUACCUUGGAUCUAUGUUUUCUCGAUUAUACAUGCAAAUAUGAAUAUUCCAAGGUGUUAUCCUAACUAGCAUACAAAACAUUGAUUCAUAUGGAAUAAUAUAAGUUAGAAGACAUACCUUUUGAUGUAGCUUGAUUCCAUGGAGCUUAAGAGCCUAGUGCCCCAGUUGUGACACCUCAAAUGGUUCACACAACACUAAAUACACUUAGAAUAACUUGAAAGAAAUGAGACACUUCAUGAAAUCAGCUAGCCCUCACCAUUCCUUCAUAGUGGACGAUUUUGGGAAGAAUAAGAUGCUUAUAUAGUGUGUCACAAUUAGGGUUACACCAUGUUAACCCUAAUUUUCAUGGCCUUUCAUUUCCAUGAUCCAUGGGCACAAAAACACCAUGGAGCAUCCUAUGGGUUUUAGCCCAACUUGAUAAUCCAUGGAGCAUUAGCCCAUUAUACAAGUAUGGAUGAUUUACACAAUCAAUCCAUAUAUUUAAUUAGUCUCCUUUUGGUCACUUAAUUAAUUCCAAAUUAAUUAUUGAUCAAUACUAAUUAUAUAAUCUUAUUAAUAUAUUAGAACUUAUAAUAUAUUAAUAAACCUUAAGUGUUAUCUCUCUCAAUUUAGUCUAUCCAAAUGCAUGAUGUCAUGCAACCCAAAUGGACCAUGCCAUGGGGCAAGUACAUACCAAAUAUAGUUAUGGACUUAGACACUAAUCCAACAGUCUCCCACUUGGAUAAGUCUAAAACUAUUAUUGCGUUUGACUUCAAAACCCGACUAGUAAUCGUAGCUCUUAAAAGUUAUUGUCGUCGAACUCUGAACAAAUCAAUGACGCGUCCAUCAUAUAAGGGAUCAUAUAUUCCUUCAUUCUAGAUAUCAUAUGGACAAGACAUGGAUUAAAAUCAUUCUGUCCAUUUGUUAUUUCCCGAUUUCCGAUUUAUGACGACUGAUUGAUUGAACAAAUCAAAUCAGUCCUGGCUUGGCCAAGCACUCACAAGUGUCAUCAUUAAAGCAUCGAGGGGCCCACAGAUAUGGCUUUUAUCCCUUUAAGGGUAAAAGGAAUGGAUAAACUUCGACUCAUAUGGCUAGUUCUACUACUUUUUGAAUCAUACACAAAGGCAUGUUUUAUAACAUCGAGUUACCAAUGUGUUUUCGUGCAAUCAAUGUAUAACCAACUCAUAGUAACAACUCAUAUCUCUAGGUUUGAAGAAUAUAAGAUAUUAUCAUCUCAUGAUCACUCGUGAUAAAAUCCAUGAAUCAAUUCCAAUGAGCGUAGGUUGAAUCCAAUACUCAUAACUUAUGAGUACUCUUGAAUGUUGUAGCACCGCUUGCUAUGUCCC
This 4078-nucleotide long non-coding RNA is filed under the name Lactuca sativa (garden lettuce). RNAcentral's name for it is "long non-coding RNA (LSAT_LNC002351)". The record is from RNAcentral. Lineage: Eukaryota; Viridiplantae; Streptophyta; Magnoliopsida; Asterales; Asteraceae.